UGACGGGGCUAGAACGUCACGACGCCUCUGAUCGACUCUCCGCGCUUCAUCAGAUCGAAUGCCUUGUUGAUGUCGUUCAGCGGCAUCACAUGCGUGAUCAUCGGAUCGAUCUGAAUCUUUCCCUGCAUGUACCAGUCGACGAUCUUCGGCACGUCGGUGCGGCCGCGCGCGCCGCCGAAGGCGGUGCCUUUCCAGACGCGGCCCGUAACAAGNNNNACGCGUUGCAAUUUCCGCUCCCGACGGCGCAACGCCGAUGACGAUCGAUUGUCCCCAGCCG
Molecule: unclassified non-coding RNA, 277 nt
Filed under: Hevea brasiliensis (rubber tree)
Lineage: Eukaryota; Viridiplantae; Streptophyta; Magnoliopsida; Malpighiales; Euphorbiaceae
Source: RNAcentral